CCCAGCCACAAAACCUCGUGAGAAUACACAGUGUACCCUGGCUUUAUGUUUAAUAAUAAGCUUUGUCCUAGAAUACAUGAGAAAUAUGAAGUAAAUACACUGAAUGGUAGGCAGAAGUAAGAAGACAUCAUUAGGUAGUGUGUGCUUCGGUUUCAGUGAUACAACAGCAGGACCAGUAAAUGAGACGCGCGGCCAGCUUCUGUGAUGAACGGAAGGAAGAAGUGUUUAAAAAGCCUAUGCUGUACCAGGAAAUGGAGGUGAGGGAAGAUUCAGUCACGGCUGUGUCCUGUAGUUGGCGUCUCUCUGUCACAAGGCCGUUUGCCUCUUCGGCACCGUUAUUCCGGCCCACAAGGUCACAGGCAUCCUAACCGUGGCAGCACAAGCCCUUGGCAGCUAUUAACAAGAAUCCUCUUGGUGUUCAGAACCCACGGGUUUAUAUCACAGCUGAGCAUCUACCAUGCACGAAGAACACAAGUUUUCACCUUUUCAGGGCCCGAGUGUUGCUUAUCAUCACAAAUUCUGAGAAAACACUACCACAUCACAC
This 544-nucleotide long non-coding RNA is filed under the name Fukomys damarensis (Damara mole-rat). RNAcentral's name for it is "lncRNA (ENSFDAG00000028946.1)". The record is from RNAcentral. Lineage: Eukaryota; Metazoa; Chordata; Mammalia; Rodentia; Bathyergidae.